This 82-nucleotide transfer RNA is filed under the name Felis catus (domestic cat). It matches the Rfam family "tRNA". Rfam says of the family: Transfer RNA (tRNA) molecules are approximately 80 nucleotides in length. Lineage: Eukaryota; Metazoa; Chordata; Mammalia; Carnivora; Felidae. The record is from Rfam by way of RNAcentral.
GCUUGGGUGGCUUAGUAGGUUGAGCUUCUGACUUUGGCUCAGGUGAUUUCACCAUUCAUGGGUUUGUGCCCCAUAUCCAGCU